AUGGUAUCAGAGAUGAUUCGGGCUCGGCCCGAUCCUCCCACCCUUUGUGUACCUACCUCUGUUGCUUUGGCGGGCCGCGGUCCUCCGCGGCCGCCCCCCUCCCCGGGGGGGUGGCCAGCGCCCGCCAGAGGACCAUCAAACUCCAGUCAGUAAACGAUGCAGUCUGAAAAACAUUUAAUAAACUAAAACUUUCAACAACGGAUCUCUUGGUUCUGGCAUCGAUGAAGAACGCAGCGAAAUGCGAUAAGUAAUGUGAAUUGCAGAAUUCAGUGAAUCAUCGAAUCUUUGAACGCACAUUGCGCCCUUUGGUAUUCCGAAGGGCAUGCCUGUUCGAGCGUCAUUACAACCCUCAAGCUCUGCUUGGUAUUGGGCACCGUCCUUUGCGGGCGCGCCUCAAAGACCUCGGCGGUGGCGUCUUGCCUCAAGCGUAGUAGAACAUACAUCUCGCUUCGGAGCGCAGGGCGUCGCCCGCCGGACGAACCUUCUGAACUUUUCUCAAGGUUGACCUCGGAUCAGGUAGGGAUACCCGCUGAACUUAAGCAUAUCAAUAAGCGGAGGAA
Molecule: ribosomal RNA, 560 nt
Filed under: Botryosphaeria dothidea
Lineage: Eukaryota; Fungi; Ascomycota; Dothideomycetes; Botryosphaeriales; Botryosphaeriaceae
Description: eukaryotic LSU rRNA
Rfam family: 5.8S ribosomal RNA (bases 187-340)
Source: RNAcentral